GCAUCGGUGGUUCAGUGGUAGAAUUCUCGCCUUCCAAGCGGGAGAUCCGGGUUCGAUUCCCGGCCGACGCA
Molecule: non-coding RNA, 71 nt
Organism: Scleropages formosus (Asian bonytongue)
Lineage: Eukaryota; Metazoa; Chordata; Actinopteri; Osteoglossiformes; Osteoglossidae
Source: the annotation of a RefSeq genome assembly